CUUGGCACUGAAGAAUUCACAG
Molecule: microRNA, 22 nt
Filed under: Limulus polyphemus (Atlantic horseshoe crab)
Lineage: Eukaryota; Metazoa; Arthropoda; Merostomata; Xiphosura; Limulidae
Description: Lpo-Mir-96-P2v-v1_5p (mature (guide))
Source: RNAcentral